Molecule: ribosomal RNA, 498 nt
Filed under: uncultured bacterium
Lineage: Bacteria
Description: partial 16S ribosomal RNA
Rfam family: Bacterial small subunit ribosomal RNA
Source: RNAcentral
AUUGAACGCUGGCGGCAUGCCUUACACAUGCAAGUCGAACGGUAACAGGUCUUCGGAUGCUGACGAGUGGCGAACGGGUGAGUAAUACAUCGGAACGUGCCUAGGAGUGGGGGAUAACUACUCGAAAGAGUGGCUAAUACCGCAUGAGAUCUACGGAUGAAAGCAUGGGAUCGCAAGACCUUGUGCUACUAUAGCGGCCGAUGGCAGAUUAGGUAGUUGGUGGGGUAAAAGCUUACCAAGCCGACGAUCUGUAGCUGGUCUGAGAGGAGGAUCAGCCACACUGGGACUGAGACACGGCCCAGACUCAUACGGGAGGCAGCAGUAGGGAAUUUUGGACAAUGGGGGAAAGCCUGAUCCAGCAAUGCCGCGUGAAGGAUGAAGGCGUUCGGGUUGUAAACUGCUUUUGUACGGAACGAAAAGCCCUGGGUUAAUACCGUGGGGGCACGACGGUACCGUAAGAAUAAGCACCGGCUAACUACGUGCCAGCCGCCGCCGUAA